UGGGGAAUAUUGCACAAUGGGCGCAAGCCUGAUGCAGCCAUGCCGCGUGUGUGAAGAAGGCCUUCGGGUUGUAAAGCACUUUCAGCGAGGAGGAAGGUGGUGGACUUAAUACGUUCAUCAAUUGACGUUACUCGCAGAAGAAGCACCGGCUAACUCCGUGCCAGCAGCCGCGGUAAUACGGAGGGUGCAAGCGUUAAUCGGAAUUACUGGGCGUAAAGCGCACGCAGGCGGUUUGUUAAGUCAGAUGUGAAAUCCCCGGGCUCAACCUGGGAACUGCAUUUGAAACUGGCAAGCUAGAGUCUCGUAGAGGGGGGUAGAAUUCCAGGUGUAGCGGUGAAAUGCGUAGAGAUCUGGAGGAAUACCGGUGGCGAGGGCGGCCCCCUGGACGAAGACUGACGCUCAGGUGCGAAAAGCGUGGGGAGCAAAACAGGAUUAGAUACCCUGGUAGUCCACGCUGUAAAACGAUGUCGAUUUUGGAGGUUGUGCCCUUGAGGCGUGGCUUCCGGAGCUAACGCGUUAAAUCGACCGCCUGGGGGAGUACGG
This 543-nucleotide ribosomal RNA is filed under the name uncultured bacterium. RNAcentral describes it as "partial 16S ribosomal RNA". It matches the Rfam family "Bacterial small subunit ribosomal RNA", at positions 355 to 885 of the family's 1533-position model. The record is from RNAcentral.